GAUUAACGCUGGCGGCGUGCUUAACACAUGCAAGUCGAACGGGGUAUGAGACUUCGGUUUCAUACUUAGUGGCGGACGGGUGAGUAACGCGUGGGCAACCUGCCCUGUACCGGGGGACAACAGCUGGAAACGGCUGCUAAUACCGCAUAAGCGCACGAAACCGCGUGGUUUUGUGUGAAAAGAUUUAUCAGUACAGGAUGGGCCCGCGUCUGAUUAGCCAGUUGGCAGGGUAACGGCCUACCAAAGCGACGAUCAGUAGCCGAUCUGAGAGGAUGACCGGCCACAUUGGGACUGAGACACGGCCCAAACUCC
Molecule: ribosomal RNA, 312 nt
Filed under: uncultured Lachnospiraceae bacterium
Lineage: Bacteria; Bacillati; Bacillota; Clostridia; Lachnospirales; Lachnospiraceae
Description: bacterial SSU rRNA
Rfam family: Bacterial small subunit ribosomal RNA
Source: RNAcentral